AUAAUAAUAAUUAUUAAUCAUUUAUCUGCUUACUGCUUAGUUCAUCGAUCCAAAACAAAGAUUGAUAGGAUGAUACAUGCUACCAAUUGGAAUUGGGGAUAAUGUUUAACCAAUUAUCAAUUUUUAUAUUUAUCAAAAAAAAAUAUCAACUUUCAAAUACGGUCUACAAAAAAAAUUCUAAUAUUUGUAUAUUAUUAAACAUAAAAUCACAUAAAUUAAAAUAAAGUAUAAUUGUUGUAUAAUAGUUAAUAUAAAUUUUUGUAGGCAUUUAUGAUCUAAUUUCAGGAAAAUGGGGCAU
This 298-nucleotide long non-coding RNA is filed under the name Elaeis guineensis (African oil palm). RNAcentral describes it as "long non-coding RNA (EGUI_LNC029983)". Lineage: Eukaryota; Viridiplantae; Streptophyta; Magnoliopsida; Arecales; Arecaceae. The record is from RNAcentral.